GAUGAACGCUGGCGGCGUGCCUAAUACAUGCAAGUCGAGCGAACAGACGAGGAGCUUGCUCCUCUUACGUUAGCGGCGGACGGGUUAGUAACACGUGGAUAACCUACCUAUAAGACUGGGAUAACUUCGGGAAACCGGAGCUAAUACCGGAUAAUAUAUUGAACCGCAUGGUUCAAUAGUGAAAGACGGUUUUGCUGUCACUUAUAGAUGGAUCCGCGCCGCAUUCGCUAGUUGGUAAGGUAACGGCUUACCAAGGCAACGAUGCGUAUCAGACCUGAGAGGGUGAUCGGCCACACUGGAACUGAGACACGGUCCAGACUCCUACGGGAGGCAGCAGUAGGGAAUCUUCCGCGAUGGGCGAAAGCCUGACGGAGCAACGCCGCGUGAGUGAUGAAGGUCUUCGGAUCGUAAAACUCUGUUAUUAGGGAAGAACAAAUGUGUAAGUAACUAUGCACGUCUUGACGGUACCUAAUCAGAAAGCCACGGCUAACUACGUG
Molecule: ribosomal RNA, 497 nt
Filed under: uncultured bacterium
Lineage: Bacteria
Description: partial 16S ribosomal RNA
Rfam family: Bacterial small subunit ribosomal RNA
Source: RNAcentral